GAUGAACGCUGGCGGCGUGCCUAAUACAUGCAAGUCGAGCGAACAGACGAGGAGCUUGCUCCUCUGACGUUAGCGGCGGACGGGUGAGUAACACGUGGAUAACCUACCUAUAAGACUGGGAUAACUUCGGGAAACCGGAGCUAAUACCGGAUAAUAUAUUGAACCGCAUGGUUCAAUAGUGAAAGACGGUUUUGCUGUCACUUAUAGAUGGAUCCGCGGCGCAUUAGCUAGUUGGUAAGGUAACGGCUUACCAAGGCGACGAUGCGUAGCCGACCUGAGAGGGUGAUCGGCCACACUGGAACUGAGACACGGUCCAGACUCCUACGGGAGGCAGCAGUAGGGAAUCUUCCGCAAUGGGCGAAAGCCUGACGGAGCAACGCCGCGUGAGUGAUGAAGGUCUUCGGAUCGUAAAACUCUGUUAUUAGGGAAGAACAAAUGUGUAAGUAACUAUGCACGUCUUGACGGUACCUAAUGAGAAAGCCACGGCUAACUACGUG
RNAcentral lists this ribosomal RNA (497 nucleotides) under uncultured bacterium. Its description in RNAcentral is "partial 16S ribosomal RNA". It matches the Rfam family "Bacterial small subunit ribosomal RNA", at positions 28 to 507 of the family's 1533-position model. The record is from RNAcentral.